ACUCACCACCCCUGUCACACUCUCCCCCUAUGCACAACUCAGUCACCCUCAUAAGCAGGCACCCCACCACAGACAGUAGCCCCCAUACACAAACAGUCAACACUGACACACAACACAGCCUUGCCAGAAACACAACGCAAACAACAAAACCACAAGCAGCCCCCAUACACAACACACUGCAAGCAUCUGCUAUACACAGAGAAACACAUGUUCAAUGACACAGAUAUUCAUUCCAAACUUACUCACUGAUACACAUGCAUACAGACACUCAUACAUUCACA
Molecule: non-coding RNA, 281 nt
Organism: Pelobates cultripes (western spadefoot toad)
Lineage: Eukaryota; Metazoa; Chordata; Amphibia; Anura; Pelobatidae
Source: the annotation of a GenBank genome assembly